Molecule: ribosomal RNA, 392 nt
Filed under: uncultured bacterium
Lineage: Bacteria
Description: partial 16S ribosomal RNA
Rfam family: Bacterial small subunit ribosomal RNA
Source: RNAcentral
AUAAGGAGGAUCCGAGCGUUAUCCGGAUUUAUUGGGUUUAAAGGGUGCGCAGGCGGCCAUUUAAGUCAGCGGUUAAAUCGUGGGGCUCAACCCCAUUCUGCCGUUGAUACUGGGUGGCUUGAUUGCGGUCGAGGCUGGCGGCAUUCGUUGGGUAGCGGUGAAAUGCAUAGAUAUGACGAAGAACACCGAUUGCGUAGGCAGCUGACCAGACCGCAAAUGACGCUCAUGCACGAAAGUGCGGGGAUCGAACAGGAUUAGAUACCCUGGUAGUCCGCACAGUAAACGAUGAAUACUUGUUUUCGGCGAUAUAAUGUCGGAGGCAAAGCGAAAGCGAUAAGUAUUCCACCUGGGGAGCACGCCGGCAACGGUGAAACUCAAAGGAAUUGGCGGGG